UUGGUGUGAAUUGCAGAAUUCAGUGAAUCAUCGAAUCUUUGAACGCACCUUGCGCUCCUUGGUAUUCCGAGGAGCAUGCCUGUUUGAGUGUCAUGGUAUUCUCAACCCACACAUCCUUGUGAUGUUCGUAGGGCUUGGACUUGGAGGCUUGCUGGCCGUCGCGGUCGGCUCCUCUUGAAUGCAUUAGCUUGGUUCCUUGCGGAUCGGCUCUCAGUGUGAUAAUUGUCUACGCUGUGACCGUGAAGCGUUUGGCGAGCUUCUAACCGUCCUGCUAGGGACAAACUUACUUGACAUCUGACCUCAAAUCAGGUAGGACUACCCGCUGAACUUAAGCAUAUCAA
This 341-nucleotide ribosomal RNA is filed under the name Ganoderma sp. BAB-4018. RNAcentral describes it as "eukaryotic LSU rRNA". The stretch from base 1 to 93 matches the Rfam family "5.8S ribosomal RNA", at positions 62 to 154 of the family's 154-position model. Lineage: Eukaryota; Fungi; Basidiomycota; Agaricomycetes; Polyporales; Polyporaceae. The record is from RNAcentral.